CUUGAACAUUAUAAGAGGUCCCGCCUGCCCAGUGACUCUGUUCAACGGCCGCGGUAUCCUAACCGUGCGAAGGUAGCGUAAUCACUUGUUCUUUAAAUAAGGACUAGUAUGAAUGGCACCACGAGGGUUAUACUGUCUCCCCCUUUUAAUCAGUGAAACUAAUCUCCCCGUGAAGAAGCGUGGAUGACACUAUAAGACGAGAAGACCCUAUGGAGCUUUAAACUAAUUUCCCAACAACCUCACCUCCUUUUAAGCUUAUGCUUUUAAUAUUCAGCCCGGUUCUAUGGGAACAAGUUUUAGGUUGGGGUGACCACGGAGUAAAAAACAACCUCCGAGCUGUAAGGGACUAUCCCCUGAACAACAAACUACAACUUUAUGUACCAAUAUAUUGACACCUAUUGACCCAAUAUUUUGAUCAACGAAC
Molecule: ribosomal RNA, 424 nt
Filed under: Pseudis paradoxa group sp. ABGD cluster 11
Lineage: Eukaryota; Metazoa; Chordata; Amphibia; Anura; Hylidae
Description: partial large subunit ribosomal RNA
Rfam family: Bacterial large subunit ribosomal RNA
Source: RNAcentral